This is a long non-coding RNA of Calidris pygmaea (Spoon-billed sandpiper), 1702 nucleotides long. The record is from Ensembl. NCBI's taxonomy places the organism in Eukaryota, Metazoa, Chordata, Aves, Charadriiformes, Scolopacidae.
AAUGAAGUUUGAUAGAGUGCUUCUGAUACACGCUGGUUGUUUUUCAAAAAAUAGUAUUAACCAGGCUGAGCAAAUUGAUACCUUGAUCAUGUGAACCAUAAAAUAGAUGUCCUUCUGCCUGAAGUCCCUGAGGACUUGGUCUGGGAGGAACGGCUUUGGUAUCCUCUGAGAAUAUGGACAGGCUGAGGCUACACAGGUACCAGGAACACUUUUAUUCUAAGAGAUGAGGGGCAGGUACAGGGAGAAGGAAUCUGCAGUCUUUCCUUAUUUGAGAAAAAAUGCUCUAAUAUUGUGUGCUGGUAAGCCUAAUAGCUCUGACAGACUUGUACUGGUGGAUUUAGGCCUGUUCUGCUGGAGGUGUCAGCUCUGUGCCAGUGGCAGCUGGUGUAUAACCCAGUUUACAAAUCAGCAUAUUCAUACAAGCCCAUCUUCCUAAGUGAGAGGUUUGCAGUGGCCAUGACUGUGACGGAUGAAGAAUGAAGACAGGGAUGGGCUCAGCAACCUUCAGGGGUGAAGAGAGACCUUCAGCAAGGUCAAGAACAUCUGAAAUGACUGGCUUAAGCUACAGCAGCUCUUGUUUUCUAGUCUGGUCCUGUGUUUCACCUGGCUCCUACAAAUUUCUUUCCAAAGUUUCCAGUCAAACAAAUGAAGACAAGAAGAGUUCUUAUGUAGACCACGAGGAACCCGAAGAGACGUCAGGACCACCAAGAAAGUCCUACAGAGACCCAUGGAUAUUUGGAAUAGAUGAGGUCGGACCUAAGAAUUCUACUGACACUUUCAAAGUCUGAAGAUACCAGAAAACGAGAGAUCCUGAAACCAUUUACCUGUUCAAAUAGGCUACUCAAUUAAUAAUCUUCCAGAGUAGAUAGAGAAAGGUUUAGAAGUGUUAUGUUUUACAGCUCUUCACUAAGCCCUGGAGAGCUAGAGAGUACUGUAAAAAUAAUAAUGUAAUGAUUCAUGAUUUUAGCAGCUACUAGAAUAUUAUUUACAGCAGUCUGAAAAUCUGGUUGCUGUAAGCCACAGUAGUUCAGGUAGCAGGAGAGAGAGAGUUAUAUCACUGAAAUCAUUAAAGAACACACAUGUGAAUACAUCAGGUGCUGAAUAUUGCCAUUGACGAGCCAGGCAGGGAAACCUGGCUCCUUCCAGUUCUGCAGGGAAGUGGUAACAGGGCAAGUCUGAGCAGAAGACAGAAAAGAAUAGGAAAAAUGGUUCCUCAGGCUGUGUGAUAGCAUAGUUCAAAUUUGCAGUGAAAAAUGUUCCUUGUUUGCAGCAUUGGCAGGUGAAGAAAUCAGUAUUAUGACCGCUGCUGCUCAUGAGGGAUAAAUGCUGAAUACAACUGGACCUUUUUCCGGUAAAGCAAUUAUUUGUAUUUUUUGUUCAUCACUCAAUUGCAGACUAGCAUCAGGAGGACCAAAAAGACAUAGAGGCUGACAGAAUAUGACAUGUGGGAUAAAAAGUCUCAUUCUUUACUCUUAAGUAACUUCUCUCUGGUACCUGUUCUUGUGCAUCUCACUGCUAUGGUGCUUUUUUGAUAGAUGUAAUUUUCUGUAUAGCUGUUCAGCAGUUUUUCUGCCCUACCAUCUGUUCUAAACAGUUAAAGACAUUUUUAUUUUCAAUUUUUCUUCAGGAAUAUAGAAGAGGCAUCUGCCUCCAACCAUUUAAAUAUAAAUUUACAAAGUAUUUAUGCAAAAUAACUCGGAUA